GAGGUUAAGCGACUAAGCGUACACGGUGGAUGCCCUGGCAGUCAGAGGCGAUGAAGGGCGUGCUAAUCUGCGAUAAGCGCCGGUAAGGUGAUAUGAACCGUUAUAACCGGCGAUACCCGAAUGGGGAAACCCAGUGUGACUCGUCACACUAUCAUUAACUGAAUCCAUAGGUUAAUGAGGCGAACCGGGGGAACUGAAACAUCUAAGUACCCCGAGGAAAAGAAAUCAACCGAGAUUCCCCCAGUAGCGGCGAGCGAACGGGGAGGAGCCCAGAGCCUGAAUCAGCAUGUGUGUUAGUGGAAGCGUCUGGAAAGGCGCGCGAUACAGGGUGACAGCCCCGUACACAAAAGCGCAUGUGCUGUGAGCUCGAUGAGUAGGGCGGGACACGUGGUAUCCUGUCUGAAUAUGGGGGGACCAUCCUCCAAGGCUAAAUACUCCUGACUGACCGAUAGUGAACCAGUACCGUGAGGGAAAGGCGAAAAGAACCCCGGCGAGGGGAGUGAAAAAGAACCUGAAACCGUGUACGUAC
RNAcentral lists this ribosomal RNA (529 nucleotides) under Salmonella enterica. Its description in RNAcentral is "partial 23S ribosomal RNA". It matches the Rfam family "Bacterial large subunit ribosomal RNA", at positions 1 to 567 of the family's 2925-position model. Lineage: Bacteria; Pseudomonadati; Pseudomonadota; Gammaproteobacteria; Enterobacterales; Enterobacteriaceae. RNAcentral also lists the same sequence under 2 other names. The record is from RNAcentral.